This 428-nucleotide ribosomal RNA is filed under the name uncultured bacterium. RNAcentral describes it as "bacterial SSU rRNA". It matches the Rfam family "Bacterial small subunit ribosomal RNA", at positions 783 to 1208 of the family's 1533-position model. The record is from RNAcentral.
UACCCUGGUAGUCCCACGCCGUAAACGAUGUGUACUAGCCGUUGGGGUACUUGAGACCUUAGUGGCGCAGNUAACGCACUAAGUAGCCCGCCUGGGGAGUACGGCCGCAAGGUUAAAACUCAAAUGAAUUUGACGGGGGCCCGCACAAGCGGUGGAGCAUGUGGUUUAAUUCGAUGCAACGCGAAGAACCUUACCAGGUCUUGACAUCCUCGGAACUUUCCAGAGAUGGAUUGGUGCCUUCGGGAACCGAGAGACAGGUGCUGCAUGGCUGUCGUCAGCUCGUGUCGUGAGAUGUUGGGUUAAGUCCCGUAACGAGCGCAACCCCUGUCCCUAGUUGCCAGCACGUUAUGGUGGGAACUCUAGGGAGACUGACGGUGACAAACCGUAGGAAGGUGGGGACGACGUCAAGUCAUCAUGGCCCUUACGAC